Molecule: ribosomal RNA, 751 nt
Filed under: Agromyces sp.
Lineage: Bacteria; Bacillati; Actinomycetota; Actinomycetes; Micrococcales; Microbacteriaceae
Description: bacterial SSU rRNA
Rfam family: Bacterial small subunit ribosomal RNA
Source: RNAcentral
CUGGGGGGAUUAGUGGCGAACGGGUGAGUAACACGUGAGUAACCUGCCCUGGACUCUGGGAUAACCCCGAGAAAUCGGAGCUAAUACCGGAUAGGACCUGGAACCGCAUGGUUUUGGGUGGAAAGUUUUUCGGUCUGGGAUGGACUCGCGGCCUAUCAGCUUGUUGGUGAGGUAAUGGCUCACCAAGGCGUCGACGGGUAGCCGGCCUGAGAGGGUGACCGGCCACACUGGGACUGAGACACGGCCCAGACUCCUACGGGAGGCAGCAGUGGGGAAUAUUGCACAAUGGGCGCAAGCCUGAUGCAGCAACGCCGCGUGAGGGAUGACGGCCUUCGGGUUGUAAACCUCUUUUAGUAAGGAAGAAGGGCCCUUCGGGGUUUGACGGUACUUGCAGAAAAAGCACCGGCUAACUACGUGCCAGCAGCCGCGGUAAUACGUAGGGUGCGAGCGUUGUCCGGAAUUAUUGGGCGUAAAGAGCUCGUAGGCGGUUUGUCACGUCUGCUGUGAAAUCCCGAGGCUCAACCUCGGGCCUGCAGUGGGUACGGGCAGACUGGAGUGCGGUAGGGGAGAAUGGAAUUCCUGGUGUAGCGGUGGAAUGCGCAGAUAUCAGGAGGAACACCGAUGGCGAAGGCAGUUCUCUGGGCCGUAACUGACGCUGAGGAGCGAAAGCGUGGGGAGCGAACAGGAUUAGAUACCCUGGUAGUCCACGCCGUAAACGUUGGGCGCUAGAUGUGGGGACCUUUCCACGGUU